GGGCCCGCACAAGCGGUGGAGUAUGUGGUUUAAUUCGAUGCAACGCGAAGAACCUUACCAGGGUUUGACAUCCUGCGAAUCUCUUGGAAACAGGAGAGUGCCUUCGGGAACGCAGUGACAGGUGGUGCAUGGCUGUCGUCAGCUCGUGUCGUGAGAUGUUGGGUUAAGUCCCGCAACGAGCGCAACCCACGUCUUUAGUUGCCAGCACAUGAUGGUGGGAACUCUAAGGAGACUGCCGGUGACAAACCGGAGGAAGGAGAGGAUGAUGUCAAGUCAUCAUGGCCCUUACGGCCUGGGCUACACACGUGCUACAAUGGGCAGUACAGAGGGCCGCGAACCCGCGAGGGGGAGCUAAUCCCAAAAAACUGCUCGUAGUCCGGAUCGGAGUCUGCAACUCGACUCCGUGAAGUCGGAAUCGCUAGUAAUCGC
Molecule: ribosomal RNA, 429 nt
Filed under: uncultured bacterium
Lineage: Bacteria
Description: bacterial SSU rRNA
Rfam family: Bacterial small subunit ribosomal RNA
Source: RNAcentral